GAUGAACGCUGGCGGCGUGCCUAAUACAUGCAAGUCGAGCGAACAGACGAGGAGCUUGCUCCUCUUACGUUAGCGGCGAACGGGUGAGUAACACGUAGAUAACCUACCUAUAAGACUGGGAUAACUUCGGGAAACCGUAGCUAAUACCGGAUAAUAUAUUGAACCGCAUGGUUCAAUAGUGAAAGACGGUUUUGCUGUCACUUAUAGAUGGAUCCCGGCGUCAUUAGCUAGUUGGUAAGUUAACGGCUUACUAAGGCAACGAUCAUAAGCCGCCCUGAGAGGGUGAUCGGCCACACUGGAACUGAGCCACGGUCCAGACUCCUACGGGAGGAAGAAGAAGGGAAUCUUCCGCAAUGGGCGAACGCCUGACGGAGCAACGCGGCGUGGGUGAUGAAGGUCUUGGGAUCGUAAAACUCUUUUAAUAGGGAAAAACAAAUGUGUAAGGAAAUAUGCACGCCUUGACGGUACCUAAUCAGAAAGCCACGGCUAACUACGUG
Molecule: ribosomal RNA, 497 nt
Filed under: uncultured bacterium
Lineage: Bacteria
Description: partial 16S ribosomal RNA
Rfam family: Bacterial small subunit ribosomal RNA
Source: RNAcentral